GCUGUAGCUCAGUGGAAGAACACUUGCCUCAUAUGUGUGAGGCACUGGGUUUGAUUCUCAGCACGGCA
This 68-nucleotide transfer RNA is filed under the name Marmota monax (woodchuck). RNAcentral describes it as "tRNA.Met". Lineage: Eukaryota; Metazoa; Chordata; Mammalia; Rodentia; Sciuridae. The record is from RNAcentral.